AUGAAGGAUUUGGGUAAACCAAAACACCGCUCGUUUCUACAACUUGAGCACCUUCAUUCAUACAUUAUGGUAUACUAUGUUGUCUAUAUCCAAGAUAUAUUGGAGAAAUUCAUUGUGGACAAAUAUUAUCAAUCCAUAACUCUCAUGGUAGUUCAUUCUCUAGACGUAGAGAAAGAUCUAUUUAGACCAAGAGAUGAUGGAAAUGAGAUAUUGGGACUCAACGUUCCAUAUGCCAUUGGACCGACCAAACAUAAUUGGUUGGUACUCAAGAAUAUCUUUCGAUAUCUCCAAGGCAUGAAACAUCUUGUCCUGUUUUUCAGUUUUGAAGAAAUCUGA
RNAcentral lists this ribosomal RNA (336 nucleotides) under Triticum aestivum (bread wheat). Its description in RNAcentral is "partial small subunit ribosomal RNA". Lineage: Eukaryota; Viridiplantae; Streptophyta; Magnoliopsida; Poales; Poaceae. The record is from RNAcentral.